Molecule: ribosomal RNA, 253 nt
Filed under: uncultured bacterium
Lineage: Bacteria
Description: partial 16S ribosomal RNA
Rfam family: Bacterial small subunit ribosomal RNA
Source: RNAcentral
UCCGGAGGGUGCAAUCGUUGUCCGGAAUUACUGGGUUUAAAGGGUGCGUAGGCGGCCUUGUAAGUCAGGGGUGAAAGCCUGCAGCUUAACUGCAGAAUUGCCUUUGAUACUGCAGAUCUUGAAAGUGGCUGAGGUCGGCGGAACGCGACAUGUAGCGGUGAAAUGCAUAGAUAUUUCCAAGAACAUCAAUUGCGAAGGCAGCCGGCUGGGUCUACCUUGACGCUGAGGCACGAAAGCGUGGGGAGAGAACAGG